Molecule: ribosomal RNA, 120 nt
Filed under: Salmonella enterica subsp. enterica serovar Typhimurium
Lineage: Bacteria; Pseudomonadati; Pseudomonadota; Gammaproteobacteria; Enterobacterales; Enterobacteriaceae
Description: partial 16S ribosomal RNA
Rfam family: Bacterial small subunit ribosomal RNA
Source: RNAcentral
AAGUACGUAGCUUAACCUUCGGGAGGGCGCUUACCACUUUGUGAUUCAUGACUGGGGUGAAGUCGUAACAAGGUAACCGUAGGGGAACCUGCGGUUGGAUCACCUCCUUACCUUAAAGAA